UACAGAGGUGGCAAGCGUUGUUCGGAAUUACUGGGCGUAAAGGGCGCGUAGGCGGUUCGUCAAGUCCUGUGUGAAAUCCCCCCGGCUCAACUGGGGAACUGCACAGGAAACUAGCGGGCUUGAGUUCGGGAGAGGGAAGCGGAAUUCCGGGUGUAGCGGUGAAAUGCGUAGAUAUCCGGAGGAACACCGGUGGCGAAGGCGGCUUCCUGGACCGACACUGACGCUGAGGCGCGAAAGCUAGGGGAGCAAACGGG
This 254-nucleotide ribosomal RNA is filed under the name uncultured bacterium. RNAcentral describes it as "partial 16S ribosomal RNA". It matches the Rfam family "Bacterial small subunit ribosomal RNA", at positions 524 to 776 of the family's 1533-position model. The record is from RNAcentral.